This 495-nucleotide ribosomal RNA is filed under the name uncultured bacterium. RNAcentral describes it as "partial 16S ribosomal RNA". It matches the Rfam family "Bacterial small subunit ribosomal RNA", at positions 30 to 507 of the family's 1533-position model. The record is from RNAcentral.
UGAACGCUGGCGGCGUGCCUAAUACAUGCAAGUCGAGCGAACGGACGAGAAGCUUGCUUCUCUGAUGUUAGCGGCGGACGGGUAAGUAACACGUGGAUAACCUACCUAUAAGACUGGGAUAACUUCGGGAAACCGGAGCUAAUACCGGAUAAUAUUUUGAACCGCAUGGCUCAAAAGUGAAAGACGGUCUUGCUGUCACUUAUAGAUGGAUCCGCGCUGCAUUAGCUAGUUGGUAAGGUAACGGCUUACCAAGGCAACGAUGCAUAGCCGACCUGAGAGGGUGAUCGGCCACACUGGAACUGAGACACGGUCCAGACUCCUACGGGAGGCAGCAGUAGGGAAUCUUCCGCAAUGGGCGAAAGCCUGACGGAGCAACGCCGCGUGAGUGAUGAAGGUCUUCGGAUCGUAAAACUCUGUUAUUAGGGAAGAACAUAUGUGUAAGUAACUGUGCACAUCUUGACGGUACCUAAUCAGAAAGCCACGGCUAACUACGUG